RNAcentral lists this transfer RNA (63 nucleotides) under human gut metagenome. It matches the Rfam family "tRNA", at positions 5 to 66 of the family's 71-position model. From Rfam's summary of the family: Transfer RNA (tRNA) molecules are approximately 80 nucleotides in length. Their secondary structure includes four short double-helical elements and three loops (D, anti-codon, and T loops). The record is from RNAcentral.
CAUUAGUUCAAUGGUAGAACGUUAGCUUCCCAAGCUGAAUACGCGAGUUCGAUUCUCGUAUGG